UAUCUGUACCCUCAUAUGUGGAGAGGCUAUCUCCAUAUUUCGGAUUUGUGACAUCUAGGUCACAAUGGAGUAAUCUUACUAUUGUGCGAAGAUCCAACCUAAAAAAAGGGUGUCCUAGCCUCUCAAGCAUAAAGCUCCCACCAUUGCAGGGUUUGGGGAGGAAUGUACAUAGCCUUACUCCCACACACGAAGAGGCUAUCUCUAUGUUUGAACCCACGACACCUAGGUCAUGAUGGAGCAUCCUUAUCAUCGUACUAAGGCCUACUCUCUAAUAAUAAAAAGCUAUAUUGUUGCUAAAUUGGAUUAAUGGAAGAA
Molecule: long non-coding RNA, 315 nt
Filed under: Elaeis guineensis (African oil palm)
Lineage: Eukaryota; Viridiplantae; Streptophyta; Magnoliopsida; Arecales; Arecaceae
Description: long non-coding RNA (EGUI_LNC060415)
Source: RNAcentral